Molecule: non-coding RNA, 45 nt
Filed under: Schistosoma curassoni
Lineage: Eukaryota; Metazoa; Platyhelminthes; Trematoda; Strigeidida; Schistosomatidae
Source: RNAcentral
AUUCAUCUGACGAAUUCCAAACAGGAUGAAACACGUGUCCUGGAU